Non-coding RNA from Ictidomys tridecemlineatus (thirteen-lined ground squirrel), 2547 nucleotides. Lineage: Eukaryota; Metazoa; Chordata; Mammalia; Rodentia; Sciuridae. The record is from RefSeq and is a predicted model, not a curated record.
GCUGAGACUGACCUUGAACUUGUGAUUAUCCUAUCUCAGACUUUCAACCUUCUGGGAUUAUAGGGUUCAUGAUGAAUACUUCAGGUAUCCAGGCAGCUUCAUUCCAAUGUUCUUUACUGUAAUAGACACCAUUGCUGGAUAAUUUCAUAUUCUCUACCUACAGAAAAAGGGCUCUGUACACCAUACUGAGAAAGCACUUUUGCUCUGCCCACAACCAGCUACAGAAAGAGGGACUCAGAAAAUUUGGAGGUAGGCAUCAGCGUCCUUUGGUGGGAGAGAGAUGAUUUCUGGCCAGCUUUUCAGGCAAGUCUUGUACUAACUAAACUCAGUUGUUAGAAUCGUGAAGACGAGAAUGCAGAGAAAAUAAAGAAAUGUUCGUCUUGAUGUUUAAGGACUAUUUGGAAGAUAAGGGGAAACCCACAUCCUAAUUUUAAGUUCAUAUUACAUAAUGGGAUAUCCUGUGUAAGAAUUAAGUUUGGGUGAGACUAUCAGGAGUAUUACAUUUCCAACACCAAGGAAAACAGGAUGAUUGAUACAUGCAACCUGUCCUUAUGAGGAUGAUAAAAAUACAUAGUAGGUUAACAAGCGAAUUGUUCACCAAAUUGUGAGCUUUAAAAAUUUAGUAUCACAAAUACAGGAAUAAUUCCCCGGAGGAUCAGAGAAUACACUUUUUAUUUUAUUCAGCAAUAUGUUGGAUAAAAUAAACAUAUGUAGAUGCUGAAAGGUUGCUCACAAAUAGGUCAGCUUGUGGCGGAAGUCUUUCAUAAUUCAAGAUACAUCAGCCUUGGCAGUAGCUGGGAAUAAGAGCAAGUAAUCAAAAGUGACCUAAACCAUGACACUAGAGUUUCCAGAUGGUAUAGAAAGGAGUCCAUAAUUUAUGAUUGCCGGUGCAGUAAAUAAAUCUAAAACAAUAGGCGUGGAUAGGGAAGCAGUCACAGCUGACCAAAAGAGCAGUUGUAAUGCAACCCACAGAAAGCUUGGUGCCAGAAGUAAUUGACAUAGUCGUCAAAUCAAUUUCCUAGGGUGCAGACACUCGAGCACUCAAUCUGAUUCUGUAUGCUGCACAACGUUUGGAUUAUACAGCUGCCUCUAAUUCAGAUAGCCUUAGCUCAAUUCAAGGAACUGUCUGGAAGUGAACAGUAAUUAUUGGGCUUCCUUUCUGCAGGUUUACUGUUUUGUGGUCAAAUUCCUUUCUUUUGGAAUUGCACACAUUUCACAUUAAUUAUUUUAUAUUUAACUGCUAUUUUUUUCUCUUUGAUAUCACCUUACUUAAUGGCAUCCAUGAAAUCCAAUAUCUAAGCACCAAUGGGGUACUGUUUCAGGAUAAGAAAACAUCAUGCAUAGUAGGAUAUUUUCUUUAAUAUUUAUUUUUUUUAGUUACAGGUGAACACAAUAUCUUUAUUUUAUUUUUAUGUGGUGCUAAGGAUUGAACCCAGUGCCUCAUGCAUGACAGGCGAGAGCUCUACCUCUGAGCCACAACCCCAGUCCCAGGAUAUUCUUUAUAUUGAUUCUGGAAUUGGUCAGUUAAUUACAAUACAUCAUACCCAUGUGAAGAAAGGGUUAAUCAAUUAUUUUUUUCUGUAUUUCAAUUAAUGCAUUUUUAAAAAGCUUAGAUAAUCUUUUGCUGAAAAUAGUUUCAUUGGAAUUCAUUCAUUCAUUCAUCCAAUGUUAGCAGACUGUGUGCAACACAACAGAGUCUUGAUGAGACAUCAGGGUAUGGAGAGAAGGCACAAAAGUUCUGCCUUUGAAGGAUCACAGUUUAGUGAAUUGAUGAAGCAGGUAAAGAAUCACAUGAGAAGAGUUACAGAAAAAAGUACAAAGGUUAGGAGCCACACAGAAGAAGCCCCUAACCCAGCUGUGGGAGGGCUGGGUUUGGAAAGCAGUGGGCAAAGGCUUUUAAAGAUGUCUCUCAUUGUCAUUGAGAGUUGAAGCAUAAGGAAAACUUUGCCAGAUUGAAAAUAGUCCUGGAAGACCCAACAUCAGAAAGACAAUAGCAUUUUUAGGUAAUCACAUACUCAUUAUUGCAUUUGCAACACAAGGUUUGUUAGGAAAAUGAAUAGCAAGUGUGGAAAGAAAAAGGGACAGGUGUGGAUCAGAUGGAAAAGGGGAAGAGGUGGGAAGCACCUUACAAAACACUUUCACUCACUGUCUUUGGCUUUAUUAAGCAGCCUUUGAGACCAUGAUUGCCCCAUUUGAAUAUGAGCCAGGAACAAAAGUGAGAGAGGUUUGGCCAUUUACUCAAAGUCACAAAACUAGGAGUAAGUCCAGGUCUAUCACUUUAAAGAUCACAAUCUGAAGAGAUCAUUACAUGACUUCUGUCAAGGAAUUCCCAUGGUUCUGGGUUCAGCCAUACAUGAAACUUUUCAAACUUUUGGAAAACAGAAAGGAGAAAUGAUGAGUUUAACAACAGCAUGUGGGGGAAGGGAGAAGAACAGAAAGAUAGAAAGGAAAGAGGAAGACAAAAAGAAUGUACACUAAUUUAAAAUACCAUAAAGAUUUAAAAAAAAAAAAAAGAGGCCAUUACCCUCUUGGGUAUAUGGAAAGAAA